UACGUAGGGACCAAGCGUUGUUCGGAUUUACUGGGCGUAAAGGGCGCGUAGGCGGCGCGGUAAGUCACUUGCGAAAUCUCUGAGCUUAACUCAGAACGGCCAAGUGAUACUGCAGUGCUAGAGUGUGGAAGGGGCAAUCGGAAUUCUUGGUGUAGCGGUGAAAUGCGUAGAUAUCAAGAGGAACACCUGAGGUGAAGACGGGUUGCUGGGCCAACACUGACGCUGAUGCGCGAAAGCCAGGGGAGCAAACGGG
RNAcentral lists this ribosomal RNA (253 nucleotides) under uncultured bacterium. Its description in RNAcentral is "partial 16S ribosomal RNA". It matches the Rfam family "Bacterial small subunit ribosomal RNA", at positions 524 to 776 of the family's 1533-position model. The record is from RNAcentral.